This 328-nucleotide unclassified non-coding RNA is filed under the name soil metagenome. RNAcentral's name for it is "partial contains 5.8S ribosomal RNA, internal transcribed spacer 2, and large subunit ribosomal RNA". The stretch from base 1 to 120 matches the Rfam family "5.8S ribosomal RNA", at positions 35 to 154 of the family's 154-position model. The record is from RNAcentral.
GAUGAAGAACGCAGCGAAAUGCGAUAAGUAAUGUGAAUUGCAGAAUUCAGUGAAUCAUCGAAUCUUUGAACGCACAUUGCGCCCACUGGUAUUCCGGGGGGCAUGCCUGUCCGAGCGUCAUUACAACCCUCAAGCUCAGCUUGGUGUUGGGCCCCGCCGCCCCGGCGGGCCCUAAAGUCAGUGGCGGUGCCGUCCGGCUCCGAGCGUAGUAAUUCUUCUCGCUCUGGAGGUCCGGUCGUGUGCUCGCCAGCAACCCCCAAUUUUUUUCAGGUUGACCUCGGAUCAGGUAGGGAUACCCGCUGAACUUAAGCAUAUCAAUAGCGGAGGA